ACCUUCAUCUCAGAAUAAAAAAAGUUCUGAAAAAUGAGGUCUACGAAAGUUUCCAAAGCCCUGAACGAUGUUAGAGUCUGGCCCUUUUAUGAUCAAGUGAUCUUUUCAGUUUUAAUGGGAAAAAAUAAAUCAUUGUUAAAAGAUAAUCUUGUCACAUGGAAGCCAGAAAGGUGCAAUAUCAAUGAUUCGACUUACCAAAAAACCGCCCCGCGGAAUGGGAUAAAGCAAAUAACAGUUUGUUUUGUUGUUGCUGUUGUUGGCAGUCCCAGCAAAGUAGGCUUAAAGAAAUACAUUGUUUUAAAAAUAAUAAGAGGGCAAUACAAAUGCCCUUAAUAGAAAAGUGAAUGGACUUGAUACAGGGCUAUUUUAUAAGAACAAAACUGCCAAUUGUUCACAUUCUUCCUCUCUUUCCUCUUUUAUUCAAUUUUUGAUGCUGCAAAUAAUAUGAAAAUCCUGGGCGUAGCUCUAAAGUUAAUGCUUUGCUUGGCAUUGUGGUACAAAUCUAUAUAAAAGUAGUUUAGAUAUAGUUGGUAACACGAAAUUGUUUCUCUAAUAGUUUGUUUUCAAUGGAGCUUAUUCUUAGCAUGUUCAAAAUAAGCAAAUU
This is a non-coding RNA of Callorhinus ursinus (northern fur seal), 604 nucleotides long. The record is from RefSeq and is a predicted model, not a curated record. NCBI's taxonomy places the organism in Eukaryota, Metazoa, Chordata, Mammalia, Carnivora, Otariidae.